Long non-coding RNA from Orcinus orca (killer whale), 5196 nucleotides. RefSeq lists it as uncharacterized. The transcript is spliced from 2 exons. The record is from RefSeq and is a predicted model, not a curated record. Lineage: Eukaryota; Metazoa; Chordata; Mammalia; Artiodactyla; Delphinidae.
GCGAGGCCCAGGAGAGGCUCGGGCGUGGGGCCGGGUCUCUGGGAGGACCAGGCGACCUCGGCUGCCCCACGGCCCGCGGGCCUGCGCCGGCCCGACACACCCCCUCGGCCGGCCUGGCGGGCGGCGGGGCCCGGGGGGAGCCUGCGGCCCCUCGGGGUGGAAGCUCAGGCCGGGGUGAGGUGUCGCGGCGCUGGGCCCAGCUCUGCACUUGGUCGGCUCGCGAACUUGAGCCGUCGGAGCGGGGGAGGCGCCAACUGGACAGCGCGGGGCCUUGUUCUCUCUGAAAAGUUUGGAUGGGGGGGCGGGGGUCCGGCAGGCGCGGCCUCCGCCCGCGGCUUUAGUGGGCGCUUCUCCGAGCGCCUUUCUGGGGGUCCCGAGGUGCGGAGAGCCCGCGAAUCAAUGGGACGCGCGGGAGGAGGAUGGGCAGGACGGCGGCGGCUCGGCCUGACGUGGCAGACUACCCAGCCCGGUAGGUGGGGCUGGUGUGGGGAGAGGUCACCCUGCUCCCCACCCUGCCCCUUCGAGGACUGGCCUUUACGUUAGGGUGUCCGGGCAGGCCUGUCCUUAGAGUCCUGCUCUAACACGCCAGCUCUCGGGUCCAGCAUCACGCCUGCCACGGGAGGGGGUAUGGGGAGGUCUCUAAUUGAAUUUCGUGGGGCAGUUAAUGCUGCUUUGAGGGACGAUCUAGUUUGUUAAACUCCGAGUGCCUUCAUCUAAUAAUGGGGUUCUCUUCAACCUGCGGCGCGGCGCCGGGUACCGCCGAGGUCUCGUGUGGUCUCCUGUAAUUCCUCACUCCACGUCACCAGUGAGUUGGCGGCUCGCUCCUCUGGAGUACACAUUUCAUGCUCACACUGCUGGGAGGCAGUGAGACAAAUCUUUACCGGCUAGUAGUUGCGGGGUUUUGCAUUUCAUUAACCCUAAAAGUUUAAGAAUGGCGAAUUUUAAAUGAUUUCUUAAAAUUACAGCGUCUUCCUUAAAGAUAUUUUUGAUGCCAUGGCCUUAGUAUAAUAACGUUUGAUGAAUUAAAGAGCUUAAUUUUUGCAGAGACAGUAAAAGAUGGGGUCCCAAAGGACCUGGGUGGCAGAGAUUCCAUUUACCUGACUGAUUUCUAAAUAUUUUCACCUGUCAAGGAACACCACAUCUUUGGCUGCUGUCUUCAGGCCUCACCUGUCUCCCUGGAACAUAGCUGAAAUCCAGGAACUGCAGCUGCUACUUCCCUGGUGGCGCAGUGGUUAAGAAUCUGCCUGCCAAUGCAGGGGACACAGGUUCGAGCCCUGGUCUGGGAAGAUCCCACAUACUGCAGAGCAACUAAGCCCGUGCACCACAACUACUGAGCCUGUGCUCUAGAGCCUGCGUGCCACAACUACUGAGCCCGCUUGCCAUAACUACUGAAGCCCACGCACCUAGAGCCUGUGCUCUGCAACAAGAGAAGCCACUGCAGUGAGAAGCCUGCGCACCGCAACGAAGAGUAGCCCCGGCUUGCUGCAACUAGAGAAAGCCCGUGUGCAGCAACGAAGACCCAACACAGCCAUAAAUAAAUAAACAAACAAAUAAAUAAAAACAAACAUAGCUGCAGCUAUAGAACCACGGGGCUUUUUCUCCUUAGGGUAAGGGAUGAGACAGGUGAGUGAAGAAGAUUCUGUUUUCUUGAACAACUGCCUUAAAGGACCUAUUUUAAAGUGAGGGCAGGGGAGUUGAUCUUGGUUUAGUUUGAACUGGCAUUCUCCGGUGUCUGCCGUUGUCAUGACAGAGGGGUACCCAAAUGAAGUGUGAGUUCCUCAUCUUCCUGAACUAUGACUGCAGCUGGAUCCACAGUAUGCUCAAGUUGUCACUUUAUUGUCUUCAACACUGACCUGGGUAGUGUUGGGAGAACAAGCCUUGGUUUGUAGGUGAAGGAUUUCCUAUCUACAUUUUCCUGUAGGCUGAUAGUUAUUAUUAGUACUGUAUCUAUUGUGCUUAAAGUACUAGUGGAGUUCUGAGCUCCAAGGCUCCCAGCCAUCCUCCCCUAGUCCUCCCCUUCCCUCCUCCACCUAUUGCUUAGAUUGUUGUUAGCUGUUGUCAUGUAAGUUGCAGACUUUUCAUUCUCCUGAAGAUGACUGUAAUGUACAGUGUCCCUGCAUUGCUUGUAAUUGGACAGUUUUUAUAUAUAUGUGUGUGUGUGUGUGUGUGUGUAUGUGUGUGUGUAUAUAUAUAUGUAUAUAUAUACCUUUAUAUUUUGAACUUAUUAGGAGGUAGUUUUUUUGCAAUGAAUGUAUCUAAUUUACAAAAAGCAGCCAUUUUCUUGGCUCUUAAAUGUGUUGAAGUUUUAGGUUUUAAUAUAUUUCAUCUUAAAUUGUCUUAAGUAGUACGCAGUGUCUGGUAUUUUGAUUUAUUGAUUGAUUUUUGUAGUUGCUUUUCCAGAUGUGGGGAGUUUUUUCCCUCUUUCUGUUUUGUUUUUUUUUUGUUUAUUGAAGUGUGGUUGGUUUACGGUGUUUUAGUUUCAGGUGUACAGCAAAGUGAUUCAUAUAUAUAUACAUAUAUAUAUGUGUGUGUGUGUGUAUGUGUAUACAUAUAUAUUCUUUUUAAGAAUCUUUUCCCUUAUAGAUUAUUAUAAGAUAUUGAGUAUAGUUCCCUGUGCUAUACAGUAUGUAAAACUUUUUGUAAAACUUUUUGUAAAACUUGUUGUGACAGUUUAUAUUUUUGAAGCACAUGGAAAAGACCUCCUCUUUUAUUGUCACUGAGUACUUCAGGAAGCUUUUGCCUCACAUUCCCAGCUCCCUCUUGGUAGCAGCUGUCACCUUUGUUCUUUUGAGUGCCAGUCUUGUGAGUAAUCAUUGCUCUCACUUACUGACCACCCACCAUGUGCAAGGCACUGGGGACACAGUCCAGAGCAGCAGCUUGUUGCUGUCAAAGUUUCUGCUCUCAAGAAAGCUGCAAUUUAGUUGAAAUAAUAAGACAUAUAUAAAAAGAUAAAAACACAGGGUAUCAAACCAUUACAGGCAGUAAAUCCUAUGGAUGUGAAGUGGCAAGACCCUAGGGAAGGCUCCCUUAAUUUCCCAACAAGGAGGGUAUAAGACCUCUAUGAGGAAAAGUAUGAAACUUUGCUCAUGGACAUAGAAGGUGACCUUGAAUAUAUGUUCAUACCAAUGUCCUGGAUAGGACCAGGCAGGCUGGUGAGGAAGCAAGAUGAUUUGUCUCCCCAGAUUAACUUACUAAUUCAGAAUAUCAUCAAAGUUAAAAGAUAAUAAACUGAGAGAAGUAAUCUGCAAUAUAUCUAAGUGACAAAAGGUUAAUAUCCAUAAUAAAAUACUCCUACAAAUUAAAAAAAACAAUCUGAUAGAUAAAUGGGCAGUGUUGGCAGUUCACAGAAGAAUAACAGAAGGCCAGUUAAACAUGAAAGAAUGCCUUGCCUCACUAGUAGUUAGGAACCUGGAUAUUAAAAUAGCAGUGCACGCCAUCAUUUGCUGCUGGGUGGGAAAAAGUCAGAGGUUUACAGGAUCUAAUGUAGGCAAGGGUGUGAAGUAAGGCGUAUUCUCAUCUGGUGUUAAGGAAUAUGUAAAUUGGCACAGCCUAUGUAGAGGAAAUUUGAUAGUAUUUCAAAACAAAGUGUUUAUUUUAUCCCAGCAUUUCUAGGGAAUUUGAACUACAGAAAUUGUCUUAUAUGUGAACAAACUAUAUAUAGGUAUAAAGAUGUUUGUUGUACAUAAAUAAAUACAAAACACUGUUUAUAGAUACAAAGAUGUUUUUAUAAGAACAAAAAUUGUACACAACCCAAAUGUCCAUUAGUGGAAGGGUCACACAAAUGACACUAUGGAGCACUAUGCAGCCAUUAAAAAGAAUGAGCCAGAAGUAUUAACAGGAGAAGGUAUAUCUGAAACACUGAGUUAACAGAGCAAAUUGUAAAGCGAGAGAUGGUAUGGCCCCAUUUUAAGGGGCAAACGUGUGGGUACACAUAUAAAUACACAUAUGGAAAGCGGCUUUAACAAAAAGCCUGGAACAUUGCACUUAAAAUGGAGGUGGGAGGGGUGUUAAAAAGGUCCUUUUGAUUCUUAUUCCAUGUAUGUUAGUCCAGUUGUUAUUUUUAAUAAAAUAGCAUGGAUUUCUCUGAAAACAAGAAAAGAUGGCAAAGCGAUACAUAGUAAUAGCUGUCAUUUAUUGAGCAUUUGCAGCAUGGCAGGUAUAGUCAAAAACACGUUUUCCAGUAGUCCCACAAUUUGGCAUAAUUUGUCCCCAUUUGACAGCUGCAGAAAGUGAGGUUUAGGGGGGCCAAGAAUGUAAUGGGCCCUGACUUACCGGUGCAUUCAAGGGCUGAGCUUGAACCCAAACCUUCUGGCCCCAAAGCCUCUGUUUCCCCAAGUCCCAAGAGCUGUGUUAUGAGUCAGGUGCUGACUGUUGGGCUGCUGGUUCCAGGGUAAGUUAAUGGCCUUUAGGAGAGCAUCUGGAUCCUUUGAGACAAUGGGGCAGAGCAUGGUGCCUGGGACCCUUGUUGAAUGCGGCCGUGCAGAUUAUCCUGGUAGUCUGACCUACAGUGCUUGGUUGCAUCCCAGCUGUUGCCAGGACAAAAAUAAUUCAUUGAACGCUUUUCUUUUUGGUUGAGGGCUUUGUUCUAUAAAUACAAUGGGAAUAUGAGAAGUGCAGCUUUUAACCAGCUUAAUUUAAAGUAACAUACAGUGGAGUAUUUAGUUGUAGGCUUUUAUUAAACUUAACUUGGCCCAGUGGGAAAAGACAGGAAUGGUGUUAAGUUUAAUGACUGGUUUCCAUUUUACAAGCUAUACUCCUUACUCUGGGUAUUUGGUGCAUUUGGUAUGGGGAUGUGGCUGUUACAGAAACAUUUAGAGUGAGUGUUCUUGAGAGCUCGUUACCGAUAGCGUUCGCAUGCUUCGGUCUCGACACCGAAACUGACCGUGGGAGCCCCUCUGGCUUAUAGCAGGUAUUCCCCCUGGAAGGAGAUUCCUGCCCCUGCCUGAUCUGUCUUCAGCUGGGAUCCCUGCCUUCCCGGGAAGACAGAACAGUUUUUCUGUUUUAAAGGGAAAAGCUGCUACCUGCUAAUCAGGAUCCCAGGCCAGGAAGAAUAGGGUAAAACUGUGUAAGCACACUCAGGUUUCCAGCAUGGCGGUUCCUGCAUGGAUUCUGCACCACGGGACAAGCUGCAGGCCACUCGCUGCCUGUCCCCUGCUCCUCUGCCCCACCCUCUGGCUGGCAGUAAAUUAGGGCAGA